RNAcentral lists this ribosomal RNA (253 nucleotides) under uncultured bacterium. RNAcentral describes it as "partial 16S ribosomal RNA". It matches the Rfam family "Bacterial small subunit ribosomal RNA", at positions 524 to 776 of the family's 1533-position model. The record is from RNAcentral.
UACGGAGGGGGCUAGCGUUGUUCGGAAUUACUGGGCGUAAAGCGUGCGCAGGCGGUUCGUUGUGUCGGUGGUGAAAUCCCCGGGCUUAACCUGGGAAUGGCCAUGGAAACUGGCGAACUGGAGUGCGGCAGAGGGGGGUGGAAUUCCGCGUGUAGCAGUGAAAUGCGUAGAUAUGCGGAGGAACACCGAUGGCGAAGGCAAUCCCCUGGGCCUGCACUGACGCUCAUGCACGAAAGCGUGGGGAGCAAACAGG